Molecule: ribosomal RNA, 467 nt
Filed under: uncultured bacterium
Lineage: Bacteria
Description: partial 16S ribosomal RNA
Rfam family: Bacterial small subunit ribosomal RNA
Source: RNAcentral
GACGAACGCUGGCGGCGUGCUUAACACAUGCAAGUCGAACGGAAAGGCCUCUUUCGGGGGGUACUCGAGUGGCGAACGGGUGAGUAACACGUGAGUAACCUGCCCUUGAGUUUGGGAUAACGUAAGGAAACUGGGGCUAAUACUGGAUAGGAGCUCCUGCUGCAUGGUGGGGGUUGGAAAGUUUCGGCGGUUGGGGAGUGAAUCGCGGCUUAUCAGCUUGUUGGUGGGGUAGUGGCUUACCAAGGCUUUGACGGGUAGCCGGCCUGAGAGUGUGACCGGCCACAUUAGGACUGAGAUACGGCCCAGACUCCUACAGGAGGCAGCAGUGGGGAAUAUUGCACAAUGGGUGGAAGCCUGAUGCAGCAACGCCGUGUGCGGGAUGACGGCCUUCGGGUUGUAAACCGCUUUCGCUCAUGACGAAGCUUUGUGUGACGGUAGUGGGUAAAAAAGCACCGGCUAACUACGUG